Molecule: non-coding RNA, 319 nt
Organism: Paramuricea clavata
Lineage: Eukaryota; Metazoa; Cnidaria; Anthozoa; Malacalcyonacea; Plexauridae
Source: the annotation of a GenBank genome assembly
GGAACUAGAUUCUGUUCCGAAAUAUCACUUACUCGAACCGUCCUGCCCGCGUAGCUCAGUUGGAAGAGCAUUGGGCUAGUGUUCCAAAGGUCGUAGGUUCGAAUCCCACCGUGGCCGGGCAUAUUUUUCAAGCUCGCCCGGUGUGGAUAUGCACUCAGAGUAACAUCACAAACAUAUUAUUCACCUGAGUACACAACAUCAGCACAGAAAAAAUUCAUAUUACAAGAACACAUUGGUAUUGAAGGAACUAGAUACUGUUCCGAAAUAUCACUUACUCGAACCGUCCUGACCGCGUAGCUCAGUUGGAAGAGCAUUGGGC